AACGAACGCUGGCGGCAGGCCUAACACAUGCAAGUCGAACGCUGUAGCAAUACAGAGUGGCAGACGGGUGAGUAACGCGUGGGAACAUUCCUAGUGGUACGGAAUAGCUCAGGGAAACUUGGGGUAAUACCGUAUACGCCCUUACGGGGAAAGAUUUAUCGCCAUUAGAUUGGCCCGCGUAGGAUUAGCUAGUUGGUGAGGUAAUGGCUCACCAAGGCGACGAUCCUUAGCUGGUUUGAGAGAAUGACCAGCCACACUGGGACUGAGACACGGCCCAGACUCCUACGGGAGGCAGCAGUGGGGAAUCUUGGACAAUGGGCGCAAGCCUGAUCCAGCCAUGCCGCGUGAGUGACGAAGGCCUUAGGGUGUAAAGCUCUUUUGCCGGGGACGAUAAUGACGGUACCCGGAGAAUAAGUCCCGGCUAACUUCGUGCCAGCAGCCGCGGUAAU
Molecule: ribosomal RNA, 449 nt
Filed under: uncultured bacterium
Lineage: Bacteria
Description: bacterial SSU rRNA
Rfam family: Bacterial small subunit ribosomal RNA
Source: RNAcentral